Non-coding RNA from Triticum aestivum (bread wheat), 124 nucleotides. The record is from Rfam. Lineage: Eukaryota; Viridiplantae; Streptophyta; Magnoliopsida; Poales; Poaceae.
GUAGUACUUCCUCGGUCCAGAAAUACUUGUUCUAAAAAUGAAUAAAAUGAAUGUAUUUAUAACUAAAAUAAAUCUAGAUACAACCAUUUUCAGGACAAGUAUUUUUGGACGGAGGAAGUACUGC